Molecule: ribosomal RNA, 469 nt
Filed under: uncultured bacterium
Lineage: Bacteria
Description: partial 16S ribosomal RNA
Rfam family: Bacterial small subunit ribosomal RNA
Source: RNAcentral
GACGAACGCUGGCGGCGUGCCUAACACAUGCAAGUCGAACGGAAAGGCCCUGCUUGCAGGGUGCUCGAGUGGCGAACGGGUGAGUAACACGUGGGUGAUCUGCCCCUUACUUUGGGAUAAGCCUGGGAAACUGGGUCUAAUACUGGAUAGGACCAUGCUGUAGGUGGUGUGGUGGAAAGAUUAGUUUCGGUAAGGGAUGAGCUCGCGGCCUAUCAGCUUGUUGGUGGGGUAAUGGCCUACCAAGGCGUCGACGGGUAGCCGGCCUGAGAGGGUGGACGGCCACAUUGGGACUGAGAUACGGCCCAGACUCCUACGGGAGGCAGCAGUGGGGAAUAUUGCACAAUGGGCGCAAGCCGGAUGCAGCGACGCCGCGUGGGGGAUGACGGCCUUCGGGUUGUAAACUCCUUUCAGCCAUGACGAAGCCCUUGUGGUGACGGUAGUGGUAGAAGAAGCACCGGCUAACUACGUG